GAGUCAUUGUAGCAUACAAGGCAUACGGCUCAGUAACGCGUAGUCAAUCUAACCUAUGGACGGGAAUAACCUCGGGAAACUGAGAAUCAAUGCCCGAUAGAACAUUAUGCCUGGAAUGGUUUAUGUUCCAAAUGAUUUAUCGCCGUAGGAUGGGACUGCGGCCUAUCAGUUUGUUGGUGAGGUAAUGGCCCACCAAGACUAUUACAGGUACGGGCUCUGAGAGGAGUAGCCCGGAGAUGGGUACUGAGACACGGACCCAGGCCCUAUGGGGCGCAGCAGGCGAGAAAACUUUGCAAUGUGCGAAAGCACGACAAGGUUAAUCCGAGUGGUUUCUGCUAAAGAAACCUUUUGUCAGUCCUAGAAACACUGAUGAAUAAGGGGUGGGCAAGUUCUGGUGUCAGCCGCCGCGGUAAAACCAGCACCUCAAGUGGUCAGGAUGAUUAUUGGGCCUAAAGCAUCCGUAGCCGGCUCUGUAAGUUUUCGGUUAAAUCUGUACGCUCAACGUACAGGCUGCCGGGAAUACUGCAGAGCUAGGGAGUGGGAGAGGUAGACGGUACUCGGUAGGAAGGGGUAAAAUCCUUUGAUCUAUUGAUGACCACCUGUGGCGAAAGCGGUCUACCAGAACACGU
RNAcentral lists this ribosomal RNA (629 nucleotides) under uncultured crenarchaeote. Its description in RNAcentral is "bacterial SSU rRNA". It matches the Rfam family "Archaeal small subunit ribosomal RNA", at positions 55 to 690 of the family's 1478-position model. The record is from RNAcentral. Lineage: Archaea; Thermoproteati; Thermoproteota.